Molecule: ribosomal RNA, 1216 nt
Filed under: metagenome
Description: bacterial LSU rRNA
Rfam family: Bacterial large subunit ribosomal RNA
Source: RNAcentral
AAACUAUUGUUAAGGAACUCGGCAAAAUGACCCCGUAACUUAGGGAGAAGGGGUGCCUGUCUAUGACAGGCCGCAGAGAAUAGGCCCAAGCGACUGUUUACCAAAAACACAGGUUUCUGCUAAGUCGCAAGACGAUGUAUAGGAGCUGACGCCUGCCCGGUGCUGGAAGGUUAAGGGGAUCUGUUAGAGCAAUCGAAGCAGUGAACUUAAGCCCCAGUAAACGGCGGCCGUAACAAUAACGGUCCUAAGGUAGCGAAAUUCCUUGUCGGGUAAGUUCCGACCCGCACGAAAGGCGUAACGAUUUGGGCACUGUCUCAACAAUAGACUCGGUGAAAUUGUAAUCCCGGUGAAGAUGCCGGGUACCUGCGACAGGACGGAAAGACCCCAUGGAGCUUUACUGUAGCUUGACGUUGGGUCUUGGUACUACAUGUACAGGAUAGGUGGGAGACUAUGAAGCAUGGACGCCAGUCUGUGUGGAGUCAUCCUUGGGAUACCACCCUUGUAGUACUGGGGUCCUAACCAUAGGCCUUGAAUCAGGUCUUGGAACACCGUCAGGUGGGCAGUUUGACUGGGGCGGUCGCCUCCUAAAAAGUAACGGAGGCGCUCAAAGGUUUCCUCAGCACGGUCGGAAACCGUGCGAAGAGUGUAAAGGCAAAAGGAAGCUUGAUUGCAAGACAUACAGGUCGAGCAAGGACGAAAGUCGGACUUAGUGAUCCGGUGGUACCGCAUGGAAGGGCCAUCGCUCAACGGAUAAAAGCUACCCUGGGGAUAACAGGCUUAUCUCCCCCAAGAGUCCACAUCGACGGGGAGGUUUGGCACCUCGAUGUCGGCUCAUCACAUCCUGGGGCUGUAGUAGGUCCCAAGGGUUGGGCUGUUCGCCCAUUAAAGUGGUACGCGAGCUGGGUUCAGAACGUCGUGAGACAGUUCGGUCCCUAUCCGUCGCAGGCGUAGGAAAUUUGAGAAGACCUGUCCUUAGUACGAGAGGACCGGGAUGGACGUACCUCUGGUGUACCAGUUGUUCUGCCAAGGGCAUGGCUGGGUAGCUAUGUACGGAAUGGAUAAGCGCUGAAAGCAUCUAAGCGCGAAGCCAACUUCAAGAUAAGAUUUCCCACCGUAAGGGUAAGACCCCAGGAAGACUACCUGGUUGAUAGGUCGAAGGUGUAAGUGCAGUAAUGUAUUUAGCUUAUCGAUACUAAUAGGUCGAGGACUUAACCUA